ACCGGGACCGGGAGAGGGAGGAGGGAGGAGGGAGGAGGUGGAGAUAAUUAGAAGGGAGGAGGGAGGAGGCUAGGGUUUCGCAGUUAAACCCGAAAACUUUAGCCGACGAAAUAAUUAUUUCGUCGGCUAAAGAUACGAAUUUCGUCGGCUAUAAACAAAUUCGUCGGCUAAACCUUCUAAACUCGUCGGCUAAAACUUUGAAAUUUGUCGGCUAAACUUUAUAAAUUCGUCGGCUAAACCUUUGAAAUUCGUCGGCUAACCUUUGACAUUCGUCGGCUAAAAGUAUUUUUAUACAUUUGGCAUGUUGUGAUUGUGAUGAUCAAACUUGAUAAACAGAAAUCCGACCGUCAGAUCUGACCAUCAUGAUAAAAUACAUGUAUGGGAAAAAAUUCAACUUGAUCCGAAAAGAAUAAGGGCUCGAUCCGGACGGUCAAUCUCGUAAGUCAAACCCCUAAACGCACGGAAAAGGUCGUUCGACCGUCUAAAUUACGUAUUUUGGCCGGACCUCCAACUGAAAAUAGUUUUAAACCGAUGACACGCAACAAGUCGUAUAAAAAUUUUACGCAAAAUAACCACCGAAUAUAGGGCUACUCAUAGGGGGAAAAAAUGAAAAAUUGCAUUGACCGCAACUAUCGGCACCGAAUAUUUACCGGAAUAGUGUGAUUUUUCAACCGUGGAUGUAUUUCAACAUUCUCGUCAUAUCUUAUUUCAUGACUUUUUG
Molecule: long non-coding RNA, 721 nt
Filed under: Fragaria vesca (wild strawberry)
Lineage: Eukaryota; Viridiplantae; Streptophyta; Magnoliopsida; Rosales; Rosaceae
Description: long non-coding RNA (FVES_LNC005463)
Source: RNAcentral